RNAcentral lists this ribosomal RNA (455 nucleotides) under uncultured bacterium. RNAcentral's name for it is "bacterial SSU rRNA". It matches the Rfam family "Bacterial small subunit ribosomal RNA", at positions 29 to 530 of the family's 1533-position model. The record is from RNAcentral.
AACGAACGCUGGCGGCAGGCCUAACACAUGCAAGUCAAACGGCCCUUCGGGGCAGUGGCGCACGGGUGCGUAACGCGUGGGAAUGUACACCUUGGUAAGGAAUAACUGCUGGAAACGGUAGCUAAUACCUUAUAAUGACUCCGGUCCAAAGAUUUAUCGCCAAAGGGAUCAGCCCGCGUCAGAUUAGAUAGUUGGUGGGGUAAUGGCCUACCAAGUCUACGAUCUGUAGGGGGUCUGAGAGGAUGAUCCCCCACACUGGUACUGAGACACGGACCAGACUCCUACGGGAGGCAGCAGUGAGGAAUAUUAGACAAUGGGCGAAAGCCUGAUCUAGCCAUGCCGCGUGAGUGAAGAAGGCCUUAGGGUUGUAAAGCUCUUUCAAUAGUGAAGAUAAUGACGGUAGCUAUAGAAGAAGCUCCGGCUAAAUUCGUGCAGCAGCCGCGGUAAUGCGAUAU